UAGAGUUUGAUCAUGGCUCAGAUUGAACGCUGGCGGCAGGCCUAACACAUGCAAGUCGAGCGGUAACACAAGGGAGCUUGCUCCUGAGGUGACGAGCGGCGGACGGGUGAGUAAUGCCUAGGUAUCUGCCCAGUCGAGGGGGAUAACAGUUGGAAACGACUGCUAAUACCGCAUACGCCCUACGGGGGAAAGGAGGGGACCUUCGGGCCUUUCGCGAUUGGAUGAACCUAGGUGGGAUUAGCUAGUAGGUGGGGUAAUGGCUCACCUAGGCGACGAUCCCUAGCUGGUCUGAGAGGAUGAUCAGCCACACUGGAACUGAGACACGGUCCAGACUCCUACGGGAGGCAGCAGUGGGGAAUAUUGCACAAUGGGCGAAAGCCUGAUGCAGCCAUGCCGCGUGUAUGAAGAAGGCCUUCGGGUUGUAAAGUACUUUCAGCGAGGAGGAAAGCUCAAUUGUUAAUAGCAGUUGGGUGUGACGUUACUCGCAGAAGAAGCACCGGCUAACUUCGUGCCAGCAGCCGCGGUAAUACGAGGGGUGCAAGCGUUAAUCGGAAUUACUGGGCGUAAAGCGUACGCAGGCGGUUUGUUAAGCGAGAUGUGAAAGCCCCGGGCUCAACCUGGGAACUGCAUUUCGAACUGGCAAACUAGAGUCCUGUAGAGGGGGGUAGAAUUUCA
This 675-nucleotide ribosomal RNA is filed under the name uncultured Vibrionaceae bacterium. RNAcentral's name for it is "bacterial SSU rRNA". It matches the Rfam family "Bacterial small subunit ribosomal RNA", at positions 1 to 671 of the family's 1533-position model. The record is from RNAcentral. Lineage: Bacteria; Pseudomonadati; Pseudomonadota; Gammaproteobacteria; Vibrionales; Vibrionaceae.